GGGUUGUGAGGUUAAGCGACUAAGCGUACACGGUGGAUGCCCUGGCAGUCAGAGGCGAUGAAGGGCGUGCUAAUCUGCGAUAAGCGCCGGUAAGGUGAUAUGAACCGUUAUAACCGGCGAUACCCGAAUGGGGAAACCCAGUGUGAUUCGUCACACUAUCAUUAACUGAAUCCAUAGGUUAAUGAGGCGAACCGGGGGAACUGAAACAUCUAAGUACCCCGAGGAAAAGAAAUCAACCGAGAUUCCCCCAGUAGCGGCGAGCGAACGGGGAGGAGCCCAGAGCCUGAAUCAGCAUGUGUGUUAGUGGAAGCGUCUGGAAAGGCGCGCGAUACAGGGUGACAGCCCCGUACACAAAAGCGCAUGUGCUGUGAGCUCGAUGAGUAGGGCGGGACACGUGGUAUCCUGUCUGAAUAUGGGGGGACCAUCCUCCAAGGCUAAAUACUCCUGACUGACCGAUAGUGAACCAGUACCGUGAGGGAAAGGCGAAAAGAACCCCGGCGAGGGGAGUGAAAAAGAACCUGAAACCGUGUACGUACAAGCAGUGGGAGCACCCUUUGGGUGUGACUGCGUACCUUUUGUAUAAUGGGUCAGCGACUUAUAUUCUGUAGCAAGGUUAACCGAAUAGGGGAGCCGGAGGGAAACCGAGUCUUAACCGGGCGUUAAGUU
RNAcentral lists this ribosomal RNA (666 nucleotides) under Salmonella enterica subsp. enterica serovar Enteritidis. RNAcentral describes it as "partial 23S ribosomal RNA". It matches the Rfam family "Bacterial large subunit ribosomal RNA", at positions 1 to 701 of the family's 2925-position model. Lineage: Bacteria; Pseudomonadati; Pseudomonadota; Gammaproteobacteria; Enterobacterales; Enterobacteriaceae. The record is from RNAcentral.